Molecule: ribosomal RNA, 1825 nt
Filed under: Streptomyces sp. BK022
Lineage: Bacteria; Bacillati; Actinomycetota; Actinomycetes; Kitasatosporales; Streptomycetaceae
Description: partial 23S ribosomal RNA
Rfam family: Bacterial large subunit ribosomal RNA
Source: RNAcentral
GAUGGGUAGGGGAGCGUCGUGUGCCGGGUGAAGCAGCCGCGGAAGCGAGUUGUGGACGGUUCACGAGUGAGAAUGCAGGCAUGAGUAGCGAUACAAACGUGAGAAACGUUUGCGCCGAUUGACUAAGGGUUCCUGGGUCAAGCUGAUCUGCCCAGGGUAAGUCGGGACCUAAGGCGAGGCCGACAGGCGUAGUCGAUGGAUAACCGGUUGAUAUUCCGGUACCCGCUGUGAAGCGUCAAACAUCGAGCAUCGUGAUGCUAAGGCCGUGAAGCCGUUCCGGACCCUUCGGGGAAAGGAAAGUGGUGGAGCCGCCGGCCCAAGCGGUUAGUAGGUGAGUGAUGGGGUGACGCAGGAAGGUAGUCCAGCCCAGGCGGUGGUUGUCCUGGGGUAAGGGUGUAGGACGCAAGGUAGGCAAAUCCGCCUUGCACAUAGUCUGAGACCUGAUGCCGAGCCGAUUGUGGUGAAGUGGAUGAUCCUAUGCUGUCGAGAAAAGCCUCUAGCGAGUUUCAUGGCGGCCCGUACCCUAAACCGACUCAGGUGGUCAGGUAGAGAAUACCGAGGCGUUCGGGUGAACUAUGGUUAAGGAACUCGGCAAAAUGCCCCCGUAACUUCGGGAGAAGGGGGGCCAUCACCGGUGAUGACAUUUACUGUCUGAGCUGGGGGUGGCCGCAGAGACCAGCGAGAAGCGACUGUUUACUAAAAACACAGGUCCGUGCGAAGCCGUAAGGCGAUGUAUACGGACUGACGCCUGCCCGGUGCUGGAACGUUAAGGGGACCGGUUAGUCACUCUUCGGGGUGGCGAAGCUGAGAACUUAAGCGCCAGUAAACGGCGGUGGUAACUAUAACCAUCCUAAGGUAGCGAAAUUCCUUGUCGGGUAAGUUCCGACCUGCACGAAUGGCGUAACGACUUCUCGACUGUCUCAACCAUAGGCCCGGUGAAAUUGCACUACGAGUAAAGAUGCUCGUUUCGCGCAGCAGGACGGAAAGACCCCGGGACCUUUACUACAGUUUGAUAUUGGUGUUCGGUUCGGCUUGUGUAGGAUAGCUGGGAGACUUUGAAGCAUGCACGCCAGUGUGUGUGGAGUCGUCGUUGAAAUACCAGUCUGGUCGUGCUGGAUGUCUAACCUGGGUCCGUGAUCCGGAUCAGGGACAGUGUCUGAUGGGUAGUUUAACUGGGGCGGUUGCCUCCUAAAGAGUAACGGAGGCGCCCAAAGGUUCCCUCAGCCUGGUUGGCAAUCAGGUGUUGAGUGUAAGUGCACAAGGGAGCUUGACUGUGAGACCGACGGGUCGAGCAGGGACGAAAGUCGGGACUAGUGAUCCGGCGGUGGCUUGUGGAAGCGCCGUCGCUCAACGGAUAAAAGGUACCCCGGGGAUAACAGGCUGAUCUUCCCCAAGAGUCCAUAUCGACGGGAUGGUUUGGCACCUCGAUGUCGGCUCGUCGCAUCCUGGGGCUGGAGUCGGUCCCAAGGGUUGGGCUGUUCGCCCAUUAAAGCGGUACGCGAGCUGGGUUUAGAACGUCGUGAGACAGUUCGGUCCCUAUCCGCUGUGCGCGUAGGAAUAUUGAGAAGGGCUGUCCCUAGUACGAGAGGACCGGGACGGACGAACCUCUGGUGUGCCAGUUGUCCUGCCAAGGGCAUGGCUGGUUGGCUACGUUCGGGAGGGAUAACCGCUGAAAGCAUCUAAGCGGGAAGCCUGCUUCGAGAUGAGUAUUCCCACCUCCUUGAGAGGGUAAGGCUCCCAGUAGACGACUGGGUUGAUAGGCCAGAUAUGGAAGCCUGGUAACGGGUGGAGUUGACUGGUACUAAUAGGCCGAGGGCUUGUCCUC